GCUCACUGCAAGACUCUCUCCUGGAUCUUGGUGUACUAUUUGCUUUCCGUGGCAAGGGGCGUGGACUGCAUGGCUAGGCCCUGCUCAUUUCCCAACCAGUUAUAACAUGAAGGGACAGCAGGCUGAUGAACUCAUGAACCAAUCCAUUUCAGGACGUUGGCCUCAAGCUGGAGUUCGUUUGAGCCCAUGGCAGCAUCAGUGAAACCAAAUAGGUCGGCAGGAGGCAACCAUGGAUGUCCUGUGGCUCCUCUCUCAGCUGACUGACUACAGCCUGUACUAUCUCAUGCACAAUGAGGGCUAUAUGCAGGCUGUGGAGAGCAGGAGAGCCCGGCCAGACCAUUGUUCGUUCAGAUUCUCCCUGAUGGAGCCUAGCCUGACAGUGACCUCACAUCAUGCUAGCCGGCAAUUCAAAGUCGCUCUGCAAGGAGAAUGACGCCAGGUGGUUCGCACAAUGUGUCCAAGAGGAACUGAAUGUUACACUGGAUGCCAGCCGUGCGAGUGCAGGUUUCGUAGUGGCAAAAUGUACCUCAACUGUCCUGUGCUCUAAAUCCAUGGGCCUGGCACUUUCACACUGUGACGAGGAGCUCCUCAACUUGCUCAGUCCUGCAGUUCGUUAGGAGUGGGACAUGUUGGCCAUUCUAGGUGGUUGGCCUAAGCUAGGGUUCGUCUGAGACCAUGGCAGCAUCAGUGACACCCAAAAGUUUGGCAG
This is a long non-coding RNA of Fukomys damarensis (Damara mole-rat), 709 nucleotides long. RefSeq lists it as uncharacterized. Lineage: Eukaryota; Metazoa; Chordata; Mammalia; Rodentia; Bathyergidae. The record is from RefSeq and is a predicted model, not a curated record. The transcript has 3 exons.